RNAcentral lists this ribosomal RNA (681 nucleotides) under Vibrio sp. JF49. RNAcentral's name for it is "bacterial SSU rRNA". It matches the Rfam family "Bacterial small subunit ribosomal RNA", at positions 85 to 762 of the family's 1533-position model. Lineage: Bacteria; Pseudomonadati; Pseudomonadota; Gammaproteobacteria; Vibrionales; Vibrionaceae. The record is from RNAcentral.
ACGGCGUCGAGCGGCGGACGGGUGAGUAAUGCCUAGGAAAUUGCCCUGAUGUGGGGGAUAACCAUUGGAAACGAUGGCUAAUACCGCAUGAUGCCUACGGGCCAAAGAGGGGGACCUUCGGGCCUCUCGCGUCAGGAUAUGCCUAGGUGGGAUUAGCUAGUUGGUGAGGUAAGGGCUCACCAAGGCGACGAUCCCUAGCUGGUCUGAGAGGAUGAUCAGCCACACUGGAACUGAGACACGGUCCAGACUCCUACGGGAGGCAGCAGUGGGGAAUAUUGCACAAUGGGCGCAAGCCUGAUGCAGCCAUGCCGCGUGUGUGAAGAAGGCCUUCGGGUUGUAAAGCACUUUCAGUCGUGAGGAAGGUAGUGUAGUUAAUAGCUGCAUUAUUUGACGUUAGCGACAGAAGAAGCACCGGCUAACUCCGUGCCAGCAGCCGCGGUAAUACGGAGGGUGCGAGCGUUAAUCGGAAUUACUGGGCGUAAAGCGCAUGCAGGUGGUUUGUUAAGUCAGAUGUGAAAGCCCGGGGCUCAACCUCGGAAUAGCAUUUGAAACUGGCAGACUAGAGUACUGUAGAGGGGGGUAGAAUUUCAGGUGUAGCGGUGAAAUGCGUAGAGAUCUGAAGGAAUACCGGUGGCGAAGGCGGCCCCCUGGACAGAUACUGACACUCAGAUGCGAAAGCGU